GGCGUCGUACCCAAGUGGCUAAGGGAGCGCAUUGCAAAUGCGUUAUUCGCCGGUUCGAUUCCGGCCGACGCCUCCA
Molecule: transfer RNA, 76 nt
Filed under: bacterium
Lineage: Bacteria
Description: tRNA-Cys
Rfam family: tRNA
About the family: Transfer RNA (tRNA) molecules are approximately 80 nucleotides in length. Their secondary structure includes four short double-helical elements and three loops (D, anti-codon, and T loops).
Source: RNAcentral